UUGUUGCAGUUAAAAAGCUCGUAGUUGGAUAUCUGGCCUUUGCGUUGACGACCCGCCCUCUUUUGGGAUGUGUGUUGGAGACGUGGGUCUAUCUUCCGGUUGGUGGCUGUUCCGCUUUAUUGGGGCGCAGUUCGCGAUCCGGAUCGUUUACUUUGAAAAAAUUCGAGUGUUCAUAGCAGGCUUACGCCGUGAAGAUCGCAGCAUGGAAUAAUAACAUAGGACUUGGUGUUCUAUUUGUUGGUUCUGGGACCUAAGUAAUGAUUGAUAGGGACAGUUGGGGGUGCUGCUAUAGACUGGCCAGAGGUGAAAUUCUAAGACUCAGUCUAGAGCAACUUAUGCGAAAGCAUUCACCAAGGAUGUCUUCUUUAAUCAAGAACGAAAGUUGGGGGAUCGAAGACGAUCAGAUACCGUCGUAGUCUCAACCAUAAACUAUGCCGACUAGGGAUUGGGGGACGUUGAAUUAUCCGACUUCCUCAGCACCUUAUGAGAAAUCAAAGUCUUUGGGUUCCGGGGGGAGUAUGGUCGCAAGGCUGAAACUUAAAG
Molecule: ribosomal RNA, 543 nt
Filed under: uncultured chlorarachniophyte
Lineage: Eukaryota; Cercozoa; Chlorarachniophyceae
Description: SSU rRNA
Rfam family: Eukaryotic small subunit ribosomal RNA
Source: RNAcentral